GUCUGAUUAGGCAGUCGGCGGGGUAACGGCCCACCGAGCCAUCGAUCAGUAGGGGUUCUGAGAGGAAGGUCCCCCACACUGGUACUGAGACACGGACCAGACUCCUACGGGAGGCAGCAGUGAGGAAUAUUGGUCAAUGGGCGUGAGCCUGAACCAGCCAAGUAGCGUGCAGGACGACGGCCCUACGGGUUGUAAACUGCUUUUAUGCGGGGAUAACCGGCGGCACGUGUGCCGCCCUGCAGGUACCGCAUGAAUAAGGACCGGCUAAUUCCGUGCCAGCAGCCGCGGUAAUACGGAAGGUCCGGGCGUUAUCCGGAUUUAUUGGGUUUAAAGGGAGCGCAGGCUGGCUGUUAAGCGUGACGUGAAAUGCUGCGGCUCAACCGUGGUCGUGCGUCGCGAACUGGCAGUCUUGAGUGCGGACGACGUGGGCGGAAUUCGUGGUGUAGCGGUGAAAUGCUUAGAUAUCACGAAGAACUCCGAUUGCGAAGGCAGCCCGCGAGGCCGCAACUGACGCUAAAGCUCGAAGGUGCGGGUAUCGAACAGGAUUAGAUACCCUGGUAGUCCGCACGGUAAACGAUGGAUGCCCGCUGUAUGCGAUAUAUUGGGCAACGGUGAAACUCAAAGGAAUUGACGGGGGCCCGCACAAGCGGAGGAACAUGUGGUUUAAUUCGAUGAUACGCGAGGAACCUUACCCGGGCUUGAACUGCAGCGGAACGACGGAGAGAUCCUGAGGCCCUUCGGGGCUGCUGCGGAGGUGCUGCAUGGUUGUCGUCAGCUCGUGCCGUGAGGUGUCGGCUUAAGUGCCAUAACGAGCGCAACCCUCUCUGCCAGUUGCCAUCACUUUUAGGUGGGCACUCUGGCGGUACUGCCACCGUAAGGUGUGAGGAAGGUGGGGAUGACGUCAAAUCAGCACGGCCCUUACGUCCGGGGCUACACACGUGUUACAAUGGGGCAUACAGAAGGCCGGUGUUGCGCAAGCAUCAUCCAAUCUAUAAAGUGUCCCUCAGUUCGGAUUGGGGUCUGCAACCCGACCCCAUGAAGCUGGAUUCGCUAGUAAUCGCGCAUCAGCCAUGGCGCGGUGAAUACGUUCCCGGGCCUUGUACACACCGCCCGUCAAGCCAUGAAAGCCUGGGGCGCCUGAA
This 1142-nucleotide ribosomal RNA is filed under the name Candidatus Hemicellulosilyticus sp. P3. RNAcentral describes it as "bacterial SSU rRNA". It matches the Rfam family "Bacterial small subunit ribosomal RNA", at positions 235 to 1425 of the family's 1533-position model. The record is from RNAcentral. Lineage: Bacteria; Pseudomonadati; Bacteroidota; Bacteroidia; Bacteroidales.